This 781-nucleotide ribosomal RNA is filed under the name uncultured bacterium. RNAcentral describes it as "bacterial SSU rRNA". It matches the Rfam family "Bacterial small subunit ribosomal RNA", at positions 8 to 781 of the family's 1533-position model. The record is from RNAcentral.
AGAGUUUGAUCCUGGCUCAGGAUGAACGCUAGCGGCAGGCUUAACACAUGCAAGUCGAGGGGUAACAUUGUGCUUGCACAGAUGACGACCGGCGCACGGGUGCGUAACGCGUAUAGAACCUACCUUUUACAGAGGGAUAGCCUUUAGAAAUGAAGAUUAAUACCUUAUGGUAUUGAGUCUCGGCAUCGAGACUUAAUUAAAGAUUUAUCGGUAAAAGAUGGCUAUGCGUCCUAUUAGUUAGAUGGUAAGGUAACGGCUUACCAUGACAUCGAUAGGUAGGGGUCCUGAGAGGGAGAUCCCCCACACUGGUACUGAGACACGGACCAGACUCCUACGGGAGGCAGCAGUGGGGAAUAUUGGACAAUGGGGGCAACCCUGAUCCAGCAAUACCGCGUGUGUGAAGAAGGCCUGAGGGUUGUAAAGCACUUUCAAUUGUGAAGAAAAGCUAGUGGUUAAUAGCCAUUAGCCUUGACAUUAACUUUAGAAGAAGCACCGGCUAACUCCGUGCCAGCAGCCGCGGUAAUACGGAGGGUGCAAGCGUUAAUCGGAAUUACUGGGCGUAAAGCGUGCGUAGGCGGUUUAUUAAGUCAGAUGUGAAAGCCCCGGGCUUAACCUGGGAACUGCAUUUGAAACUGGUCAACUAGAGUAUGGUAGAGGAAAGUGGAAUUUCUGGCGUAGCGGUGAAAUGCGUAGAUAUCAGAAGGAACAUCAAUGGCGAAGGCAACUUUCUGGACCAAUACUGACGCUGAGGUACGAAAGCGUGGGUAGCAAACAGGAUUAA